AUAAUAUAAGGACUUUGACAGUGGAAGAGGGCGUCCAGAGCAGCAGCAGAAGGUACACCUCAUCUCUUCUUGAGCACUUACACAUUGGCAGUUGUGACUCUCUGACAUGUAUAUUUUCAAAAAACGAGUUACCUGCCACGCUUGAGUCCCUUGAAGUUGGCAAUCUACCUCCGUCUCUUAAGUCCCUUGGUGUUUGGGGAUGUUCAAAGCUGGAGUCAAUAGCAGAAAGGUUGGACAACAACACAUCUCUUGAAACAAUCGGUAUUUAUAAUUGUGAAAAUCUGAAAAUUUUACCGAGUGGUUUACAUAAUCUCCGCCAGCUUCAAGAGAUUCAGAUAUGGGAUUGUGGAAAUCUGGUGUCCUGUCCCGAAGGGGGAUUGCCUUGUGCGAAACAGAGUAAGCUCAGGAUCUAUUGGUGUGAGAGACUGGAGGCCUUACCCAAGGGAUUGCACAAUCUGACCUCUCUUCAAGAAUUAACAAUAGGAAGAGGAGUUGAGCUUCCAAGCCUUGAAGAAGAUGGCCUUCCCACCAACCUUCAUUCUCUUGCGAUUUGGGAUAAUAUGAAGAUUUGGAAGUCAACGAUUGAGUGGGGCCGGGGAUUUCACAGAUUCUCCUCUCUGCGACAACUUACAAUCGUUGGAUGUGAUGACGACAUGGUGUCAUUUCCACCAGAGCCAGAGGACAUAAGAUUGGGGACCACGCUUCCUCUUCCUGCCUCUCUAACAUCUCUAGAGAAAAUUGAGAUUAGAAAAUGUGAUGCACUGAAAUCAUUACCAGAGGCAUGGAUGUGCGACACCAAUUCCUCUCUCGAGACCUUGAAAAUUGAGCGCUGCCGUUCGUUGACAUAUAUUGCUGGAGUCCAACUACCACCGAGCCUUAAGAGGUUGGACAUCUGGAAUUGUGAUAAUAUAAGGACUUUGACAGUGGAAGAGGGCGUCCAGAGCAGCAGCAGAAGGUACACCUCAUCUCUUCUUGAGCACUUACACAUUGGCAGUUGUGACUCUCUGACAUGUAUAUUUUCAAAAAACGAGUUACCUGCCACGCUUGAGUCCCUUGAAGUUGGCAAUCUACCUCCGUCUCUUAAGUCCCUUGGUGUUUGGGGAUGUUCAAAGCUGGAGUCAAUAGCAGAAAGGUUGGACAACAACACAUCUCUUGAAACAAUCGGUAUUUAUAAUUGUGAAAAUCUGAAAAUUUUACCGAGUGGUUUACAUAAUCUCCGCCAGCUUCAAGAGAUUCAGAUAUGGGAUUGUGGAAAUCUGGUGUCCUGUCCCGAAGGGGGAUUGCCUUGUGCGAAACAGAGUAAGCUCAGGAUCUAUUGGUGUGAGAGACUGGAGGCCUUACCCAAGGGAUUGCACAAUCUGACCUCUCUUCAAGAAUUAACAAUAGGAAGAGGAGUUGAGCUUCCAAGCCUUGAAGAAGAUGGCCUUCCCACCAACCUUCAUUCUCUUGCGAUUUGGGAUAAUAUGAAGAUUUGGAAGUCAACGAUUGAGUGGGGCCGGGGAUUUCACAGAUUCUCCUCUCUGCGACAACUUACAAUCGUUGGAUGUGAUGACGACAUGGUGUCAUUUCCACCAGAGCCAGAGGACAUAAGAUUGGGGACCACGCUUCCUCUUCCUGCCUCUCUAACAUCUCUAGAGAUUUCUAGAUUUCCAAAUCUGGAACGCCUAUCUUCUUCAAUUGUUGAUCUUGAAAACCUCACUAAAUUGACACUCUAUGAUUGUCCGAAGCUCAAAUACUUUCCGGAGAAGGGCCUGCCUUCCUCACUUUUGCAAUUAAAUAUCUGGGAAUGUCCGUUGAUAGAAGAGAAGUGCAGAAAGGAUGGAGGACAAUAUUGGGACUUGUUAACCCUUAUACCGUGUGUUCUAAUAGGCUGGUAAAUCCGUUUUUGGCGAUAACACAUAGGACGACUGAUAGGACGGCUGAAAUAUUUUAUUGUUAGUAUUUUUUUUUUUAAAUUGGGCGUGUAUUAUGUGUUGGUGAUUAAUGGGUUUUCGAAAUAAAAAGAACAAAGGAGGAGGACUCUAUUAAUUAAUUAAUGAAUUAAUUUCUCAUUCUCAGCUGAUGAAACUUCAGUUUCUUAUAUUUGUCUUUUCCGCAGUAAGGUUACAUAUGUAAAAUAUUUUAUUAUUAGAAUUUUUUUAAAACUAAUUUUUUAUUAUUACUUUUAACCCGUCUUUGGUGUAAUCUUUGCUCAAAUUUCCCUUUAGAAUCCACUAUUUGAUAAAUGUAUAGAAUUCAUUCAAGUUACAGCUUCGAAUUAGAAAUGAGGAAUUUUCAUCAUACAAUAUUUAUAGGAAACCAUUUUGCCCUGCAAUGCUGUACAGUGAUUUGUAAACUUGGCCCGUAGACCAUCGGUCUUUCAUUAAGCCUACACAAAGCAGAAUUUGUCUUUUGCCCGUUGAAACUUCAGUUCCUUAUGUAAAAUAUUUUAUUAUUAGAAUUUUUUUUUCUUCUAAAUCAAGCGUGUUUGUGUAUGUAAUUUUAAAAUUCAAAUCUCAGUUGAAAACUGUUUUAAAUUAAUAAAAAAAAAUGUUAAGUACAGUAAGGGGCUCGCAUUAUUUUAGCAACGGGGGACUGUAUUAAUUAAUUAAUUAAUAGAUUAAUUUCUUAUGCGUAUCUCAUUCUUAGCUGUUGAAAUAAACGUCAGUUUUUUUUUUAUUUAGCUGUACGGUUACAUAUGUGUAAUAUUUCUCUUCAUCAGACUUCGGCAAAAAUUGUUAAUGUUCUUCUUAGUAAUUAAUUAGUACGUUAGUGUUCUUCUUUUGUUGUGUUUGUAUAACAACAAUGCUACCCAAUAUCAAUUGACCAAGUAAAUUAAACCGACCACAGUUUAUCAAAAGCAUUUUAUUAUAUAAUCUUCGUACAUGUACAUCGUCAUCAAAUCCCAUAACAACAAAAACAGAAAAUCAAAAGAAAACAAGAACAUGCCACACAAUAUCAAAAACGAAAAGAACAUUAUAACGCCAAGUAUUAUAUUUCUCUAAUUACAUUUCGGUUUUAGUGGCCUUAACUUAAAAUCUCCUCCAGAACAAUCUGCCUCUUCAACAAUAAUGUUAUAAUGUUCUUUUGAUGUUGUUGUUUUUUUAGGUGCUAAUUAAACAUAUGAGGGCUGGGCCGCGUUACAAAAUUAUUUGUAAUUUGUAAUUUAAUUGUUUAUGUGCCAUCGCUAUUAAUAUUAAUCGAGACACGGGAUGCUGGUGCUGCACUCGCGGGAUGGUGCUCGAUACUGGUGCUGCGCGCGCGGGGUGGUGCUCGAUGCUGGUGCUGCGCUGUGUUGCUCGCGGCUGGAGCUUAGGAUCUACGUUGUGGGGGCUGGAUCUGCACACUACUGUGUUGUGCGCGAGAGCUGCUGCUGCGUGGCUGUGGCUGCUGCAUUGCGUUGCGCGCGGCUGCUGCGUGGGCUGCGGGAAAGAAUUAGGGAUUUUGUGAAUUAGGGAUUUUUUUUAAUAGUGAUUUUUGAAUUUUUUUAUAAAUAAAUAUAUAAAAGAAAGAACAAAAGAAAAUCUCCUUUUUUCGUUUUUUAAAUAAAUAGAUAGAUAAAAUAAAAAAUAAAAUAAUUUUUUUAAUUCUUUUUUUUGUGAUGAAUCACUUUGAGACACCAAAACUUUCAGAAGUACUUUUUUAAUAAGCACGUGGGCACGCCUUAAAACCAUUUUACUUUAAAAAUCACAGAAGUACUUAUUAGUUAAGACGUGGGCAUGCCUUAUCAAAAAUUUUCUUCUGACCAAAAUAAGCAAACACAUUAUUUUUUUUUAAAAAAAAUCUGAAUCAAAAUUAAAAGAAGAUAUAACAAAAACCAAAAUAAAUAAAUCAUUUGGGUUGCCUCCCAAAAAGCGCCUUUAUUUUAUGUCUUUAGCUAGACACAUUUAUGCAUCAAUCUCCAUAAUUGGGAAUCUCGAGAGCCACAUCCUCCACACUAUUCAUUGAAAAACCUUCAUAAAAAAGUUUUAAGCGAUGACCGUUAACUUUAAAAACUUUGUCAGAGGUUGGACUUCGAAUCUCAACUGCACCAUGAGGAAAAACAUUAGUAACAAUAAAAGUCCAACCCAGUAAGAACAUAAUUUACCUGGAAAACAUUUAACCUUAAAAUGAAAAAGAAGAACUUUUUAACCAACAAAGAACUCCUUUCUCAAAAUCAUUCUAUCAUGAAAUGUUUUCGUUUUUUCCUUGUAAAAAACUUCCUGCACUAUAGGGUUAAUAACAUCCACAGAAAAUAUCGAAUGUUCCUCACUAGGAUAUUUCAUGGCAUCAUUCAUAUUGAAUUCUAUAACCUCUCCAUCAAACUCCAUAGUGAGAGUCCCUUUAUGUACAUCCAUUUUAGUCCUAGCAGUCUUAAGAAAAGGUCUUCCUAGCAAAAUUGGGAUAUAAUUAGAGGAGUUAUGAUCUUCCAUAUCAAGUACAUAAAAAUUAGCAGGAAAAACCAAUUCAUUAACUUGUACUAAGACAUCUUUUAAUACCCCAUCAGGAUAUGCAUUACACCUAUAAGCUAGUGGAAUUAUCACGCCAGUUUCUUUUAAUAGACCAACAUUCAAAGUUGAAUAAAUGGAACUAGGCAUGACAUUAAUAGAAGCUCCUAGAUCUAACAUAGCCUUUUCAACUCUGACAUUACCAAUUUUGCAAGGGAUAGUAAACAUACCUGGAUCCUUGCACUGAGGAGGUAGUUUCUUUUGAAGAACUGCUGAAACAUUCUCCCUCAUGUGAACUUUUUCAUCUCCUCUUAAUUUUCUCUUGGAGGUGCACAGUUCCUUAAGGACUUUAGCAUAUUGAGGUAUUUGUUUUGUAGCAUCUAAUAAAGGAAUAUUUACCUCAACCUUGCGAAAUGUCUCAAGGAUGUCUUUCUCUUGUUCCUCCUUCUUGGAUUUUGUAAACCAGCUUGGAAAAUGAGGAGGUAUCACAAUAGGUAGGGGUUUCGCUCUAGUGGGUUGCACAUCUUGAGAUUUAGGCAUCAAUUCAUUCUUCUCAAGCUCAUCUUCUACAUGCUUUAUCACUUUCUUACUAGUCUCUUGCAACUCCUUCCCACUUCUAAUGGAAAAGGAGGAGGUAUCACAAUAGGUAGGGGUUUCGCUCUGGUGGGUUGUGCAUCUUGAGAUUGAGGCAUCAAUUCAUUCUUCUCAAGCUCAUCUUCUACAUGCUUUAUCACUUUCUUACUAGUCUCUUGCAACUCCUUCCCACUUCUAAGGAUGACAGCACUAACAUUUUACUUUGGAUUCACCUCAGAUUAUGAAGGCAAUCUCCCUAAUACUUGAGACUCCAGACGGCUCACUGUAGUCGCUAAUUGACUCAUUUGGUUCUCCAAGUUCUGUACGCUUGUCGUAGUUGCCUGUUGAAAUUGUUGAGUGUUAGUCGCAAGUGAUUUAACAAUUUCUUCAAGAGAUGUACCUGACUUGGAGUUUGACUGUGGAGGUGCUGGUUGUCUUGGUGGAUACUGUUGUGGGAAUCCUGACGGCCUAACUCCAUAGCUGAAGUUGGGAUGAUCCUUCCAUCCCGAAUUAUAUGUUUGGGCAUAAGGAUCAUACCUUCUCUGAGGCAUGCCUGGAAAUCCUCCAACUGCAUUGGCUUGUUCAACGGGUUCUUCUUGAAGUGUAGGACACAUAUCAGUUGAAUGACCCAUAUUGUAACAAAUGCCACAAGUCUUCACCUGUUGCACGUUACCUACAACAAACUUUUCCACAAGAGAAGUAAGUUUAUCUAAACGUUGUUCAAUAGAAGAAAUAUUUACCUCAUUCACCUUCCUUGAAGUGAGAUCUUGCCUGCUACUAAAUUGUUGUGCGUUGGCAGCCAUAUUUGAUAUUAACUCCCUUGCUUGAGUAGGGGUCUUGUUCACCAACACACCUCCACUAGCAGCAUCUAUCAUACUCCUAUCCAUCAAUGACAGUCCUUCGUAAAAAUAUUAAAUAAGAAGUUGAUCAGAAAUCUGAUGCUGAUGACAGCAGGCACACAAUUGUUUGAAUCGCUCCUAAUACUCAUACAAAGUCUCCCCAGGAAGUUGUCAAAUCCCACAAAUGUCUUUUCUAAUGUUAGCAGCUCUUGAAGCAGGAAAAUACUUCUCGAGGAACUGCUUCUUCAAACCAUUCCACAUUGUAAUUGAUCCAGGAGGCAAGUAGUAUAACCAAUCUUUAGCUAACCCAUCUAAAGAGAACGGAAAAGCACGCAGCUUAAUCUGCUCUUCAGUCACGCCUUGUGGCCUCAUACUUGAGCACACAACAUGAAACUCCUUAAGAUGUUUAUGAGGAUCUUCACCUGCAAAACCAUGAAACUUGGGUAAUAAAUGAAUAAGACCAGACUUUAAUUCAAAAUUUACCUCCAAAUCUACAUAUUGAAUGCAGAGUGGUUGCUGAUUCAAGUCUGGUUCAGCUAACUCUCUAAGAGUUCUUUCUACAGGUGCAGGUCUAUCCAUCACUUGUUCUUCUGAAUCGCUAGAUGAUUCAACUAAAUCAGGCACCGUAUCUGUUUCAGAAAGCAAAGGCGACGAGGAUCGUUGCUUAGCUCGCUUUGUCUGCUGUCUCAGUUGGCGAGCUGUCUUCUCAAUUUUAGGAUCAAACGAAAGUGUACCUGUACGAGAAGAACGAACCAUACACCAAGUAAAACGUAAAAAAGAUUAAAUAAAUGACACCAAUCCCCGGCAANNNNNNNNNNNNNNNNNNNNNNNNNNNNNNNNNNNNNNNNNNNNNNNNNNNNNNNNNNNNNNNNNNNNNNNNNNNNNNNNNNNNNNNNNNNNNNNNNNNNNNNNNNNNNNNNNNNNNNNNNNNNNNNNNNNNNNNNNNNNNNNNNNNNNNNNNNNNNNNNNNNNNNNNNNNNNNNNNNNNNNNNNNNNNNGUGCGUUGGCAGCCAUAUUUGAUAUCAGCUCCCUUGCUUGAGUAGGGGUCUUGUUCACCAACACGCCUCCACUAGCAGCAUCUAUCAUACUCCUAUCCAUCAAUGACAGUCCUUCGUAAAAAUAUUGAAUAAGAAGAUGAUCAGAAAUUUGAUGCUGAGGACAGCUGGCACACAAUUUUUUGAAUCGCUCCCAAUACUCAUACAAAGUCUUCCCAUGAAGUUGUCUGAUCCCACAAAUGUCUUUUCUGAUGUUGGCAGCUCUUGAAGCAGGAAAGUACUUCUCGAGGAACUGCUUCUUCAAAUCAUUCCACGUUGUAAUCGAUCCAGGAGGCAAGUAAUACAACCAGUCUUUAGCUAGCCCAUCUACAGAGAACGGAAAAGCACGCAGCUUAAUCUGCUCUUCAGUCACGCCUUGUGGUCUCAUACUUGAACAUACAACAUGAAACUCCUUAAGAUGUUUAUGAGGAUCUUCACCUGCAAAACCAUGAAACUUGGGUAAUAAAUGAAUAAGACCAGACUUUAAUUCAAAAUUUACCUCCAAGUCUACAUAUUGAAUGCAGAGUGGUUGUUGAUUCAAGUCUGGUUCAGCUAACUCUCUAAGAGUUCUUUCUACAGGUGCAUCUCUAUCCAUCACUUGUUCUUCUGAAUCGCUAGAUGAUUUAACUAAAUCAGGCACUGUAUCUGUUUCAGAAAGCAAAGGUGAAGAGGAUCGUUGCUUAGCUCGCUUCGUCUGCUGUCUCAGCUGGCGAGCUGUCUUCUCAAUUUCAGGAUCAAACGAAAGUGUACCUGUACGAGAAGAACGAACCAUACACCAAGUAAAACGUAAAAAGGAUUAAAUAAAUGACACCAAUCCCCGGCAACGGCGCCAAAAUUUGAUGGUUGUCGAAGUCAACAAAAAUAAAUUCCUACUCUAAAUAAAUUGUGUAUAGUGAUUGAGCAGGGUCGUGUCCACAGAGAUCGGUAAUUAUUUAAAUCCUUUUGAAACGUAAAACGUAAAAUGGGGGAAUUGUUGACAAUAAUAAAAAUCAAAUUAAAAUAACAAGAAUGCAAAUUAAAGUUGUAAUUCAAAUUGGAGAAAGCUCUGGUUGAAGGAAUUAACUCAGCUUGAUUCGACUACUGAUCAUUGAUUCAAAUAAAUAUUAUUAUUACUUAUGAAUAGACCGAUUAUAGCUACUGAGACUCUUUAAUAGCCAAUCUCUCCUUAACUAGUUGAUAACCAAGGUACGACCAUUGGAUAUUUCCCUAAUCAAUAAACAACCCUAGAUACGAUCAUAGGAUUUAAUCAAUUGAUAGCCUAGAAAAUCGGAGAAACCUAAAUCCUAAUCAACACAUAUGAUGAUUCAUUUAAAUUAGUUUGUUUAUUCUCAUAACACAACUCACUGCUAUAUUAUUUGUCACAAACAUUAAAAUCUUCAUAUGAUGAAUCCUUUAAUUGACAAUUGAUUAAGUUGAUAAUUAAAUAGUGGCCAAUUACCUAAUUAACAAACAUAACCAUGAAACUAAUUCAGAGAAUAAACAAAUACCCAAAAAGUAAUAAAACAAUUAAAGCAUAAGAAAGAUCUCGCAGUAGUGAUGAAUCAAAGCUUCAUUAAUCUUCAACUAGAAAAAUAAGUUUAGUUCUUCAUAGAGAGAAGAAGAAAAUUAGAUCUAGGGUUUCUUUCUUUUUCUCCAAUCCAAACCCCCCCCCCCUUUUUUCACAAUAGAUUCCUCCCUUAAAUACUCUCUCUCUCGUCUCUUUUAAAGUUCUAUUUAAAAUAAAAUACUAAUAUCUGAAAUUUUAAAUUUGUAAUUACAAAAAUAACCAAAAAUACAAAACAUGUUAAACUAAAAACUGCAGGUUUGCAGUUGACAGCACGCGCCCACGCCUUAUCAACAAAGUUCUUCUGCCGCUCAUAAUUUCUUCAAGAGAACAAUCAUCCUUAAACAUCAUCUUGUAGCUCAAUUUUAUCACCAAUCAAUAGAAUUGCACCUACAAAAGUAAAUCACUAGUAAAUCACUAUUAUUAAGUGCAAAACAUCGAUAUUAAGGGAAGUAAACAAUGCAAAACUAGUGCAUAAAUUGCACUCUAACAGUCUUGAAUUACAUAUUAAUUUUCUACCGUUUACCUUUUUCAUUUUAUUAAAGUUCCACCAUUUUUAUUGCUAUUUUCUAUGUUUGCCAUUCCGCACAAAUACAUAUCCCCAAUGUAUUAGUUAUCACUUCUUAGAAAUUUUGUAAAUAUCAACAAUUAAUAUCAUUAUUCAAUCAUUUAGAAAAACCUCAUUAUUAAUGAUUAGUUUAUCUCUCAAUUAAAACUAGACACAUUGUAAAUAUGUGAACUCUAAUUAAAUCUUGAUACUUGUAAUAUAUAUGAGCCAUAUCUAAAAGAGUGAGUUUUAAUUUCGACUUCCAUUUUUUUAAAUGCUAGGUAGAUGUACUGAAUAGGAAGCAACAAAUGAAGAUGGAUUCUUUUUGCUGGACACUGGUUUUUAUUUUUCAUUUUUUCCAAUUAUUCAAUGGUGCUUGGUCCACCCAUGUCCGGUUCGUCAAGCAGACAAGCACAAGCGCGUGAAGCUUGAUAAAUUAUUGAUGGUGGUCGGGGCUGCCUCUGGCUUUUGCUUCCACUUUCGUGUAAUAAAGUGAAGUUUGCUAAAUUAUCGGUGGCGGGUCUUUUUUUGUUUUCACAUUAGAGUUAUUUCAGUUGAUGACAUAUUAAUCGUCUUGUUAUUUUUAUUAAGUAUAUGUAUUAAGUAUAAAUGAGUCGAAUUUAUGUUCAGCUAAAAUUUGUUAUAGUUUAUUUUGACACGACAGUAAUGUAACGCGACGGUAGGAAUUACCAUUGGGAUUAUAAAAAAUUGUUGCGUACUUUUAAGUCUUCGUUUUAGCAUGGAAAUUAAUUCAAUCAAUAAAGUAGUUUUAGGGCAGAAAGAGAGAGAGAGAGAAACGUUUUGAUUUAACUUGGUUUAUGAGUUUGAAGACUUGUAAAGGGAAGGUUCGUAGUAGAUACAUUCCAUUUUCCACUUUAUUCAGCAUUUACCGGGACACUGGAUUAAUGUUGCAUGGCCCUACAAAUGUCAUAUUCAUUGAAUUGCUAAAUUAUUAUAUUCAUUGAAUCUGGUAACAAGUGGUGGUGAUUGGUGAAUUGCUAAAUUAAUGGGUAGUGGGCUCUGUUUUUAUUUUCACUUUCCUGGAAUAAACAACAAGUGGAAGACUUGUUACGCGCGUUUUGCAUUUCCAAACUCAAAAUUCUGUUUCUUUCUUUGCAAAAAAAAAAAAAAAAAGGAAAAAAAGAAAAAAAAUGUCAAUCAGCGGAGAGUAGCGUAAUUAUUGGUGGUAGUACUGUCUUUUACUUCAUUUAGUGUAAUAAUCACGUUUUGUUAGUUAUGUUAUUAACUUACUAAAUAUAUACCUUGAACAAAUGAGUCGAAUUUAUUUUAUCUAAAAUUUCAUUUUACAACAAAAAUAUAACAUUAUGAUUGGACUUGGCAUUGAGAUUAAAAAAAAAUAUAGUGCACUUAUAAGAAUAAAAAGAGAGAUUAAAAUCAUUUAUUUUAACUUGCUUUUAUAAGUAGAAGACUUCUACAACAAAGAUGGAUGCAUUCUAUUUUCCUCCAUAUUCAACAUUUUUUUUUCAUUAUUCAACGUUUGAAGAAAAAAUAAGAAUUUUGAUAUUCUUAGCAUUGAAGAAUUGAUAGACUCUCUUCAAACAUUUAAGAUGAACCUUAAUUAGGGUUUUGAAAAUUAUAAAGAACAAUAUUUUAAAAGCGUUAGCUGAGUAAAUUUUAGCAUUAAUUACGAUUCCACUCUAAAUCGAAAAUGUGUAGGUUUUUCUCUUAUUAUUAUUUUUAAAAUUCUAGCAUUAAUUGCGGCUCUGUUUUUUCUUUUCUUAGCUGCAAGGAACAACAAGUGGGGAGACUUGCCACGUUUUACGUCGUAUUUUGCGUGACCCUUGACACUUAAUUACUAAGCAUUUUCAUUUUGCUCUCCAAGUGGUGGUGAUGAGUGAAUUGCCAAAUUAUUAGUCAUUGGUCAAUAAAGUAUAAACGCGUGAUUUCUAGCUGCGCCAGACCCUUCACAAUCACAAACUCAUUCUGCUUGAUUAUCCAUUUUCUCACCUGUUCAAUAUUCUCAUUCUGCUUUCCAUAACCCAUAAUUCUGCUCCUUUCUUCCUUUGCCCAAAAAAAAAAAGAAAAAAAUGUCAAUCAUCGGAGAGGCAAUCCUUACGGCGUCCGUUGAUUUGCUGGUCAAUAAGUUAGCUUCAGAUGGGAUUCUGUUUUUUGCACGCCAAGAGAAGAUCCAAGACUAUCUAAUGAAGUGGGAGAAUAUGUUGGAGAUGAUCAAGGCGGUGCUUGAUGAUGCUGAGGAGAAGAAGACGACUAAUCAGUUUGUGAAGAAGUGGCUUGGCAAGCUUCAGAACUUGGCUUAUGAUGUUGAAGACUUGUUGGAUGAGUUUCAAACUGAGGCUUUCCGGAGGAAGUUGCUGCUUGGAAAUGGAGAACCAGAUGCGGCUCAUGAUGAACCCAGUAGCAGUCAUACGAGACCAAGUAAGCUUCGGACGCUCAUUCAUACUUGCUUCACCAUUUGUACUCCACAAUCGAUUCAGUUCGAUUACGCCAUGAUGCCCAAAAUCGAAGAGAUCAACAGCAGAUUUCAACAUAUUGUAACACAGAAAAACUCGCUGGGUUUGAACGUAAGUUCAGCGGGGAGGAGCACAGGAGACAGGCAAAGACGAGAGACAACCUCUUUGGUGAAUGAAGCCAAAGUAUAUGGCAGGGAAACAGAAAAGAAGGAAAUUGUUGAAUUGUUGUUGAAGGAUGAUUCAAGAAAUGAUGGUGGGUUCGCUGUUAUUCCUAUUAUAGGUAUGGGCGGGCUGGGUAAAACCACUCUUGCUCAGCUUGUCUACAAUGAUAAGCAAGUGGAGGACCAUUUUGGUCUCAAGGCAUGGACUUGCGUCUCUGAUGAUUUUGAUCUUAUCAGGCUUACAAAAUCAAUCCUACUUUCAAUUGCUAGUGACCAGAAAGUGGAUGAUCACGACUUAAAUAAGCUUCAAGAGAAAUUGAAGAAACAACUGCUUAGAAAGAAAUUUUUGCUUGUUUUGGACGACGUAUGGAAUGAUAAUUACAAUGAUUGGGUUCAAAGGCUUUCCGGAGGAAGUUGCUGCUUGGAAAUGGAGAACCAGAUGCGGCUCAUGAUGAACCCAGUAGCAGUCAUACGAGACCAAGUAAGCUUCGGACGCUCAUUCAUACUUGCUUCACCAUUUGUACUCCACAAUCGAUUCAGUUCGAUUACGCCAUGAUGCCCAAAAUCGAAGAGAUCAACAGCAGAUUUCAACAUAUUGUAACACAGAAAAACUCGCUGGGUUUGAACGUAAGUUCAGCGGGGAGGAGCACAGGAGACAGGCAAAGACGAGAGACAACCUCUUUGGUGAAUGAAGCCAAAGUAUAUGGCAGGGAAACAGAAAAGAAGGAAAUUGUUGAAUUGUUGUUGAAGGAUGAUUCAAGAAAUGAUGGUGGGUUCGCUGUUAUUCCUAUUAUAGGUAUGGGCGGGCUGGGUAAAACCACUCUUGCUCAGCUUGUCUACAAUGAUAAGCAAGUGGAGGACCAUUUUGAUCUCAAGGCAUGGACUUGCGUCUCUGAUGAUUUUGAUCUUAUCAGGCUUACAAAAUCAAUCCUACUUUCAAUUGCUAGUGACCAGAAAGUGGAUGAUCACGACUUGAAUAAGCUUCAAGAGGAGCUGAAGAAGAAGUUAUCUCAAAAGAAAUUUUUGCUUGUUUUAGACGACGUUUGGAAUGAGAAUUACAAUGACUGGGUUGACAUGAGCCGUCCGUUUGAAGCUGGCGCACAGGGAAGUAAGAUUGUUGUCACUACUCGCAAUCAACAGGUUGCAAAAAUCAUGAGGCCGGAUCAAGCUUAUGAAUUGAAAAACUUGUCCACUGAGGAUUGUCUGUCUGUGUUUGCUCAGCACUCUUUGGGGACAAGAGAUUUCAGUUCACACAAGUCAUUGGAGGACAUUGGCAAGAAGAUAGUGAUCAAAUGCAAUGGCUUGCCCUUGGCAGCAAAAACACUGGGAGGACUUUUAUGUGGAGAACAUGACAGAGGUGUGUGGGAAGAUGUGCUCAGUAGCAAGAUAUGGGUAUUACCAGAAGAUAUAUGUCCCAUUAUACCAGCCCUUGCAGUGAGCUAUUAUUAUCUUCCUCCAAUUUUAAAACAAUGCUUUGCACACUGCUCGUUGUUUCCGAAGGAUUAUGAAUUUGAAGAGGAGGAGAUAAUUUUAUUAUGGAGUGCCGUGGGUUUCUUGGAUCACGGAGAGAGCGGGAAUCCAAGUGAAGAUCUUACUUUUUUACCAGUAAUGUUGACAAACAGUUGGCCUGGCUACUUGGCUCCUAGCAUUCUUCCUAAGUUGCUCAAACUCCAACGCUUGAGGGUCUUCUCUUUGCGUGGAUACCGCAUCCCAGAGCUGCCGGAUUCAAUUGGUGAUUUGAGGUAUUUAAGGUACCUUAACCUGUCUGGAACUGAGAUUAGCACUCUGCCUGAAUCAGUCAACAAGCUUUACAAUUUGCACAGUCUUUUGUUGGAAGAUUGUGAUCGGCUGAGGAAGUUGUGUGCAGGCAUGGGAAACCUCGCCAAAUUGCAUCAUCUUAAGAAUUCAAAUACGAAGUCGUUGGAGGAAAUGCCAGUAGGAAUUGGUAGGUUGACUAGUCUUCAGACGUUGUGUGAUUUUGUUGUGGGAGAAGGCAGUGGUUCCGGGUUACGAGAGCUAAAGUUGUUGACGCACCUUCAUGGGACACUUAACAUUUCAAAAUUGGAGAAUGUAAAAUGCAUUGGUGAUGCCAUGGAGGCUCAAAUGGAUGGAAAGAAGAAUCUGAAAGAAUUAUCGCUUAAAUGGACUUGCAGUACUGAUGGUUCUUCUUCAAGGGAGGCAGAAACUGAAAUGGGCGUGCUUGACAUGCUAAAACCUCAUACAAAUCUGGAGCAAUUUUGUAUCAAAGGCUAUGGAGGUAUGAAAUUUCCAACUUGGUUGGGAGAUUCCUCAUUCUCAAAUUUGGUGACCCUAGAAUUUGAAAAUUGUGACAUGUGUACUGCCCUGCCGUCAGUCGGGCAACUACCCUCUCUAAAGCAUCUUGCAGUAUGUGGAAUGAGCAGAGUAAAGAGGUUGGGUUCAGAGUUCUAUGGGAAUGAUGCUCCAUUUCCUUUUCCAUGCUUGGAGACUCUUCGUUUUGAAAACAUGCGAGAAUGGGAAGACUGGAUUCCUCUUAGAUCUGGUCAGGGAGUUGAAGGGUUUCCUAAAUUGAGAGAGCUUCAUCUUAUAAGCUGUUCUAAACUGCAAGGAACAUUUCCAGAGCACCUUCCUGCAUUGCAGAUGCUUGUUAUUCAAGAAUGCAAAGAAUUGUUAGUUUCAAUUACCAGUCUUCCAGCUCUUUGCAAAUUAGAGAUUGAUGGAUGUAAAGAGGUUGUGUGGGAAAGUGCAACUGAUCAUCUCGGGUCACAGAAUUCGGAGGUUUGUAGAGAAACAUCAAAUCAAGUGUUUCUCGCAGGGCCAUUAAAGCCGCGACUGCCAAAAUUGGAAGAAUUGAAGAUAAAUGAUAUGAAAGAGCAGACAUAUAUUUGGAAGAGUCAUAACGAAUUACUGCAAGACAUUUGCUCUCUCAGAAGACUGACGAUUACAAGCUGUCCCAAACUUCAAUCCUUGGUGGCGGAGGAAGAGAAAGACCAACAACAGCAGCUCUGCGAGUUGUCAUGCAGACUCGAAUAUCUAAGAUUGAGUUAUUGCGAAGGCCUUGUGAAGCUGCCACAAUCAUCUCUCAGCCUCAGUUCCUUGAGAGAGAUAGAAAUCUACAAGUGCAGUUCCCUUGUUUCCUUUCCUGAGGUUGCUCUGCCUUCCAAGUUGAAGAUAAUUGAGAUUGAAGGUUGUGACGCACUGAAAUCAUUACCAGAGGCAUGGAUGUGCGACACCAAUUCAUCUCUCGAGACCUUGUAUAUUGAGCAUUGUCGUACGUUGACAUAUCUUGCUGGAGUCCAGCUACCACGGAGCCUUAAGAGGUUGGACAUCCUUAGUUGUGAUAAUAUAAGGACUUUGACAGUGGAAGAGGGCAUCCAGAGUAGCAGCGGCAGCAGAAGGCACACCUCAUAUCUUCUUGAGAAGUUAGAAAUUUGGAAUUGUCGAUCUCUGACAUGUAUAUUUUCAAAAAAUGAGUUACCUGCCACGCUUGAGUCCCUUGAAGUUGGCAAUCUACCUCCGUCUCUUAAGUCCCUUCGUGUUGAGAGGUGUUCAAAGCUGGAGUCAAUAGCAGAAAGGCUGGACAACAACACAUCUCUUGAAACAAUCAAUAUUUGGAGGUGUGAAAAUCUGAAAUUUUUACCGAGUGGUUUACAUAAUCUCCGCCAGCUUCAAGAGAUUCAUAUAUGGAAUUGUGGAAAUCUGGUGUCCUUUCCCGAAGGGGGAUUGCCUUGUGCGAAACUCACGAGGCUGACGAUACAUGAUUGUAAGAGACUAGAGGCCUUACCCAAGGGAUUGCACAAUCUGAC
This 15320-nucleotide long non-coding RNA is filed under the name Citrus sinensis (sweet orange). RNAcentral describes it as "long non-coding RNA (CSIN_LNC004968)". Lineage: Eukaryota; Viridiplantae; Streptophyta; Magnoliopsida; Sapindales; Rutaceae. The record is from RNAcentral.